CACGUAGGGCGCAAGCGUUGUCCGGAAUUAUUGGGCGUAAAGAGCUCGUAGGCGGUCUGUUGCGUCCGCUGUGAAAACUCGGGGCUUAACCCCGAGCCUGCAGUGGAUACGGGCAGACUAGAGGUAGGUAGGGGAGAAUGGAAUUCCCGGUGUAGCGGUGAAAUGCGCAGAUAUCGGGAGGACCCCCGGUGGCGAAGGCGUUUCUCUGGCCUUACCUGACGCUGAGGCGCGAAGGCUAGGGGAGCAAACAGG
Molecule: ribosomal RNA, 252 nt
Filed under: uncultured bacterium
Lineage: Bacteria
Description: partial 16S ribosomal RNA
Rfam family: Bacterial small subunit ribosomal RNA
Source: RNAcentral